This 2587-nucleotide ribosomal RNA is filed under the name Spodoptera frugiperda (fall armyworm). Its description in RNAcentral is "eukaryotic LSU rRNA". The stretch from base 1373 to 2587 matches the Rfam family "Eukaryotic large subunit ribosomal RNA", at positions 1891 to 3277 of the family's 3401-position model. Lineage: Eukaryota; Metazoa; Arthropoda; Insecta; Lepidoptera; Noctuidae. The record is from RNAcentral.
CGUUCCCGUGGGAAAAAAAGGAUCCUAUCACCCAAAUCAGCGUAUGACGAUGUCUGCAUACCAAAUUGCAUCAAAAUUCGUUCAGUAAUUUCAGCAUAAUUGACGAUCAAACAUCCAGACAGACAAACAAACUUCACAUUUAUAAUAUUAGUGUGAACUCGGACUACAGUUUUUCAACAUUAAAUGUUACUUUGAUACAGACAAAACAAAUCGCACCUUAUACAUAGAUAUAGCCUCAUCAGGCUCUCCAAGUCCGAUGUAUAUUUGCUCAGCCUUCCGCAACUGUCCGUCCUGCCGCAUUUGUUGUGCGAGUGGCAUGUAGAUGUCUCGGGUUUGUUCCUCGGACAGUUGUGCGGCGGCCAGGCGCAGUCCGUCCGCUACCCGGCCGGCGGCAUUGUAUGCCCGGACACAACGCUCCGACAUACCGCACGAUACUAGCACACGUUCUGCCGUCUCCCAUUCCUGGAUAACGACCAUACAAAUAUGUAUAACCAAUAUUUUUUAAAUAGUCGUUUUGUGAAAGUUAGAUCAUGGAAGUAGUUUAGUGCUCCAAAAAGAACAAGUAGGUAAUAAAAAGUCCAAAUACAUAAAAAAUAUCGAAAAAUUUUAACAAGAACGUGGUAUCAGUCGUGCUAGAUUGUGAAGGGCAGGUAUAGGCCUAAAUUAAUCAAUCACUCCAUAUAACAUACAUACAUGUGCACAUUCGACCGAAUUUGGUUAAGAACCUGUGACGAAAAUUGGUUCAGAAAAUAUAAAAAAAGAAGUCUAAAGUCCCUUAAUUAUUUUCAGUAAUUUCUUCAUAAGGCUACAAAACUUACUCGAGUUGAUAUAAAGUGAUCACCAAGUCUCUCACACUGCUCUCUGAUAGACUCCUUAUCGUCUAUAGCCUGAAAAUUACAAUAACCUAGAUUAGGCAAAUAUUUAGCAAACAUAACCUCAUCAAUGUAAUAUCCAAUCAGCAACAGGUGGGUGAUUCAAUUAUUUAUCGGUUGGGGCCAUCCACAUUUAUCGAGGUAAUUUACAUUAACCUUUAUGUCAAUAUCAUUUACUCUGAAUCCAAUAGGACGGCGAUGAACCCUUGUAAACAUAUGGAAUUAAAAAGCUACAAUACUGGAUAUAGAAACCGUUACUCUCUCAUGGUUUUCCUAAAAGGGUUCAGCUGUCCUUAAGCUAAUCUUGAUCUUGUUAGAUCCAUAGUUUGUCUGUCUAACUUAAAAGCUAGAAUGGACCCUAAAUGUUGAAAGUAUUCAUCGAUUUACUUCUAUCAAUAGUAUAUAGUUAAUGAUUUGAGAUAGUAUGUGUGCGUAGAGACAUUGGGAGAAUUUGUUUCCCGUAUCAUCGUGCCACGUAUGAGACGAGGCAACGUAGCAGUUUGUAAGUAUGUAAGAGAAGAAAACCUUGUUUGGAGAAGACGGCCCUCUGCAUCUUUCUUAAGUAAAAGGGCUCCGUGAUAGUGUUUCAUGUUGUGGUUCUUUAAUGCCAAGCAAGCGCGGGUAAACGGCGGGAGUAACUAUGACUCUCUUAAGGUAGCCAAAUGCCUCGUCAUCUAAUUAGUGACGCGCAUGAAUGGAUUAACGAGAUUCCCACUGUCCCUAUCUACUAUCUAGCGAAACCACAGCCAAGGGAACGGGCUUGGGAGAAUCAGCGGGGAAAGAAGACCCUGUUGAGCUUGACUCUAGUCUGGCAUUGUAAGGAGACAUGAGAGGUGUAGCAUAAGUGGGAGAUCGUUCGCGCGAUCGUCGCUGAAAAACCACUACUUUCAUUGUUUCAUUACUUACUCGGUUGGGCGGAAGCGGUGCGCGGUCGAUAAUAUCGGCGGGCGCACGGUGUUUCGUUCCAAGCGUGCAGAGUGGCGACGUGGCGGCAACGCUCGUCGCCGUACAACUCCCGCGUGAUCCGGUUCGAGGACACUGCCAGGCGGGUAGUUUGACUGGGGCGGUACAUCUGUCAAAGAAUAACGCAGGUGUCCUAAGGCCAGCUCAGCGAGGACAGAAACCUCGCGUGGAGCAAAAGGGCAAAAGCUGGCUUGAUCCAGAUGUUCAGUACGCAUAGGGACUGCGAAAGCACGGCCUAUCGAUCCUUUAGUAUAAAGAGUUUUUAGCAAGAGGUGCCAGAAAAGUUACCACAGGGAUAACUGGCUUGUGGCAGCCAAGCGUUCAUAGCGACGUUGCUUUUUGAUCCUUCGAUGUCGGCUCUUCCUAUCAUUGCGAAGCAAAAUUCGCCAAGCGUUGGAUUGUUCACCCAUCAAAAGGGAACGUGAGCUGGGUUUAGACCGUCGUGAGACAGGUUAGUUUUACCCUACUGAUGGCUUGUCGUUGCGAUAGUAAUACUGCUCAGUACGAGAGGAACCGCAGUUUCGGACAUUUGGUUCAUGCACUCGGCCGAGCGGCCGGUGGUGCGAAGCUACCAUCCGCGGGAUUAUGCCUGAACGCCUCUAAGGCCGAAGCCAGCCUAGCCGAAUCCGGCAAGGAUAUGCUCACUGUGGAGCCCCGAGAGUCGGGAGGCUCUAAACAAUGUGACUUUACUAGUCGCGCUUCACCACGUGAGGUGCGACGUCGAAGCCCAUUUGGAUCGCGGAGAUCGAUGC